Molecule: long non-coding RNA, 757 nt
Filed under: Homo sapiens (human)
Lineage: Eukaryota; Metazoa; Chordata; Mammalia; Primates; Hominidae
Description: long non-coding RNA NONHSAT211574.1
Source: RNAcentral
CUCAUGGAUAAAACCAGUAGAAGCCACCACCUAUGGUCCCAGCUGCUCGGGAGGCAGCGGUGGGAAGAUCGCUCGAGCCCAGGAGGUGGAGGCUGCAGAGAGCCAAGGCCCAAGAGCUCCCAGCUCCCACUCCCAGCAGCAGGCACUGCGAGCAAGACUGGCCGCCGGAUUCCAGCGAGGAGGGGCUCCCGCGGCCCCGCUCCCCCUGCUCUGAUGGGAGAAGAGACGCCGCGGCCAGAGUCCUGCAGGCCCAGUGGAAGGUGUACAAGCACAAGAAAAAAAAGGCUGUUCUGGAUGAGAGCUCUCCUGUGCCCCGCGUUCCGAGCCCCAUCGCCCAGGCCACGGGCAGCCCUGUGCAGGAGGAGGCCAUCGUCAUCAUCCAGUCCGCUCUGCGGGCACACCUGGCCCGGGCCAGGCACAGUGCUACCGGUAAAAGAACCACCACCGCAGCUUCUACCAGGAGGAGAUCGGCUUCAGCCACACACGGGGACGCCUCCUCCCCACCCUUCCUCGCAGCUCUUCCUGACCCCUCUCCCUCAGGGCCACAGGCCUUGGCACCUCUACCUGGGGAUGACGUCAACUCCGAUGAUUCCGACGAUAUUGUCAUUGCACCGUCUCUGCCCACGAAGAACUUUCCAGUUUAGGUCCCCGUCACUGUCUCCACGCCGUGAUGGCAGCGCUGCCGAGGACAUAGGAACCACGACUGGAAAGAUAAUUUAUCGUGUUAGGAGAAGAACGAUGAUACCUACUUAACACC